This 468-nucleotide ribosomal RNA is filed under the name uncultured bacterium. RNAcentral's name for it is "partial 16S ribosomal RNA". It matches the Rfam family "Bacterial small subunit ribosomal RNA", at positions 28 to 507 of the family's 1533-position model. The record is from RNAcentral.
GACGAACGCUGGCGGCGUGCUUAGCACAUGCAAGUCGAACGGAAAGGCCCCGCUUUUGUGGGGUGCUCGAGUGGCGAACGGGUGAGUAACACGUGAGUAACCUGCCCUUGACUUUGGGAUAACUUCAGGAAACUGGGGCUAAUACCGGAUAGGAGCUCCUGCUGCAUGGUGGGGGUUAGAAAGUUUCGGCGGUUGGGGAUGGACUCGCGGCUUAUCAGCUUGUUGGUGGGGUAGUGGCUUACCAAGGCUUUGACGGGUAGCCGGCCUGAGAGGGUGACCGGCCACAUUGGGACUGAGAUACGGCCCAGACUCCUGCGGGAGGCAGCAGUGGGGAAUAUUGCACAAUGGGCGGAAGCCUGAUGCAGCAACGCCGCGUGCGGGAUGACGGCCUUCGGGUUGUAAACCGCUUUCGCCUGUGACGAAGCGUGAGUGACGGUAAUGGGUAAAGAAGCACCGGCUAACUACGUG